RNAcentral lists this non-coding RNA (46 nucleotides) under Trichobilharzia regenti. Lineage: Eukaryota; Metazoa; Platyhelminthes; Trematoda; Strigeidida; Schistosomatidae. The record is from RNAcentral.
GUACUGAUGAAGAGUCCCAAAUUAGGACGAAACAGCCGUGCAGUAC